UACGUAGGGGGCAAGCGUUGUCCGGAAUCAUUGGGCGUAAAGAGCGUGUAGGCGGUCCGGUAAGUCGGCUGUGAAAGUCCAAGGCUCAACCUUGGGAUGCCGGUCGAUACUGCCGGACUAGAGUUCGGAAGAGGCGAGUGGAAUUCCCGGUGUAGCGGUGAAAUGCGCAGAUAUCGGGAGGAACACCUAUGGCGAAGGCAGCUCGCUGGGACGUUACUGACGCUGAGGUGCGAAAGCGUGGGGAGCGAACAGG
RNAcentral lists this ribosomal RNA (253 nucleotides) under uncultured bacterium. Its description in RNAcentral is "partial 16S ribosomal RNA". It matches the Rfam family "Bacterial small subunit ribosomal RNA", at positions 524 to 776 of the family's 1533-position model. The record is from RNAcentral.